Molecule: ribosomal RNA, 440 nt
Filed under: uncultured bacterium
Lineage: Bacteria
Description: partial 16S ribosomal RNA
Rfam family: Bacterial small subunit ribosomal RNA
Source: RNAcentral
CCUACGGGCGGCAGCAGUGGGGGAUAUUGCACAAUGGGGGAAACCCUGAUGCAGCGACGCCGCGUGUGGGAAGACGGUCCUCUGGAUUGUAAACCACUGUCCCCAGGGACGAAGAUGACGGUACCUGGGGAGGAAGCUCCGGCUAACUACGUGCCAGCAGCCGCGGUAAUACGUAGGGAGCGAGCGUUGUCCGGAAUUACUGGGUGUAACGGGAGCGUAGGCGGGACUGCAAGUUGGGUGUCAAAUCUACCGGCUCAACCGGUAGCCGCACUCAAAACUGCAGUUCUUGAGUGAAGUAGAGGCAGGCGGAAUUCCUAGUGUAGCGGUGAAAUGCGUAGAUAUUAGGAGGAACACCAGUGGCGAAGGCGGCCUGCUGGGCUUUUACUGACGCUGAGGCUCGAAAGUGUGGGGAGCAAACAGGAUUAGAUACCCGAGUAGUC